GACGAACGCUGGCGGCGUGCUUAACACAUGCAAGUCGAACGGAAAGGCCCUGCUUUUGUGGGGUGCUCGAGUGGCGAACGGGUGAGUAACACGUGAGUAACCUGCCCUUGACUUUGGGAUAACUUCAGGAAACUGGGGCUAAUACCGGAUAGGAGCUCCUGCUGCAUGGUGGGGGUUGGAAAGUUUCGGCGGUUGGGGAUGGACUCGCGGCUUAUCAGCUUGUUGGUGGGGUAGUGGCUUACCAAGGCUUUGACGGGUAGCCGGCCUGAGAGGGUGACCGGACACAUUGGGACUGAGAUAAGGCCCAGACUCCUACGGGAGGCAGCAGUGGGGAAUAGUGCACAAGGGGCGGAAGCCUGAUGCAGCAACGCCGCGUGCGGGAUGACGGCCUUCGGGUUGUAAACCGAUUUCGCCUGUGACGAAGAGUGAGUGACGGUAAUGGGUAAAGAAGCACCGGCUAACUACGUG
RNAcentral lists this ribosomal RNA (468 nucleotides) under uncultured bacterium. RNAcentral's name for it is "partial 16S ribosomal RNA". It matches the Rfam family "Bacterial small subunit ribosomal RNA", at positions 28 to 507 of the family's 1533-position model. The record is from RNAcentral.